This 452-nucleotide long non-coding RNA is filed under the name Nicotiana benthamiana. Its description in RNAcentral is "long non-coding RNA (NBEN_LNC030258)". The record is from RNAcentral. Lineage: Eukaryota; Viridiplantae; Streptophyta; Magnoliopsida; Solanales; Solanaceae.
AUGUUGCUAAAAGAGCGUGUAGAAAAGUUACUGGUAGGGGUGAAAAUAAAAAAAAAGUAGUUCUGUAGUUUCCGGUAGUAAUAGUAAUGACCCAAUAACACAUGUUUCUGAAUCAUCGCCUAAUUUGCAAGGUGUAAAUAUUGAUUAUGAACAAUUACACCAAGAUUUCGGAAUAGAAGAUAACGAAAUUGGAAAAGAAGAUGAGAUACCACCUACACCGAGAUUGAUUAUGAACAAUUACAAGAAGAUUUUAGAAUUGAAGAUAGUGAAAUUGGAAUAGAAGAUGAGAUAUCACCUACACCUAGUAGUGGAAAUGUUGGUAGUAUUGGAGUUGGAGUUGCUAGUGCUACAAUGGGUAGUAGACCACCAGUGGCUCCAACUUCUAAUCGUAAAAGAAGAAGUCCGGUAUGGAAAUUUUUUGAAAUAAUAGAAGGUACUAAUAGAGUUAAGUG